This 148-nucleotide unclassified non-coding RNA is filed under the name soil metagenome. Its description in RNAcentral is "partial internal transcribed spacer 1". The record is from RNAcentral.
CCGAGUUUACAACUCCCAAACCCCUGUGAACAUACCUAUACGUUGCCUCGGCGGAUCAGCCCGCGCCCGUAAAACGGGACGGCCCGCCAGAGGACCCCUAAACUCUGUUUCUAUAGUGGAACUUCUGAGUAAAACCAUAAAUAAAUCA